UGGGGAAUAUUGGACAAUGGGCGAAAGCCUGAUCCAGCAAUGCCGCGUGUGUGAAGAAGGUCUUCGGAUUGUAAAGCACUUUCGACGGGGACGAUGAUGACGGUACCCGUAGAAGAAGCCCCGGCUAACUUCGUGCCAGCAGCCGCGGUAAUACGAAGGGGGCUAGCGUUGCUCGGAUUGACUGGGCGUAAAGGGCGCGUAGGCGGUUUGUACAGUCAGACGUGAAAUUCCUGGGCUCAACCUGGGGGCUGCGUUUGAUACGUGCGAGCUUGAGUUCGGAAGAGGGUCGUGGAAUUCCCAGUGUAGAGGUGAAAUUCGUAGAUAUUGGGAAGAACACCGGUGGCGAAGGCGGCGACCUGGUCCGAUACUGACGCUGAGGCGCGAAAGCGUGGGGAGCAAACAGGAUUAGAUACCCUGGUAGUCCACGCCGUAAACGAUGUGUGCUGGAUGUUGGGUGACAUAGUCACUCAGUGUCGUAGCUAACGCGAUAAGCACACCGCCUGGGGAGUACGGCCGCAAGGUUG
Molecule: ribosomal RNA, 524 nt
Filed under: uncultured bacterium
Lineage: Bacteria
Description: bacterial SSU rRNA
Rfam family: Bacterial small subunit ribosomal RNA
Source: RNAcentral